This 90-nucleotide small nucleolar RNA is filed under the name Cephalotus follicularis. Its description in RNAcentral is "Small nucleolar RNA R24". It matches the Rfam family "Small nucleolar RNA R24". Rfam says of the family: snoR24 is a C/D box small nucleolar RNA which acts as a methylation guide for 18S ribosomal RNA in plants. Lineage: Eukaryota; Viridiplantae; Streptophyta; Magnoliopsida; Oxalidales; Cephalotaceae. The record is from Rfam by way of RNAcentral.
CCUGCAGUGAUGAGCCAUUAACAUGUAAGAAGAGCCAUUCAUGUGGUUUCUUCAAUGAAAUACUCUUGUUACGCUUGGCUUCUGAGCUUC